RNAcentral lists this ribosomal RNA (253 nucleotides) under uncultured bacterium. RNAcentral describes it as "partial 16S ribosomal RNA". It matches the Rfam family "Bacterial small subunit ribosomal RNA", at positions 524 to 776 of the family's 1533-position model. The record is from RNAcentral.
UACGUAGGGCGCAAGCGUUGUCCGGAAUUAUUGGGCGUAAAGAGCUCGUAGGCGGCUUGUCACGUCGGAUGUGAAAGCCCGGGGCUUAACCCCGGGUCUGCAUUCGAUACGGGCAGGCUAGAGUUCGGUAGGGGAGAUCGGAAUUCCUGGUGUAGCGGUGAAAUGCGCAGAUAUCGGGAAGAACACCCGUGGCGAAGGCGGCUCUCUGGGACGGUACUGACGCUGAGACGCGAAAGCGUGGGGAGCGAACAGG